UACAGAGAGAGCUCAGCCUACAGAGAGAGCUGCAAAGGAAAUGUCAUCCUCAGAGGAAAAUCAGAUUUCCAUUAAGGAUCUCCCUGCCAUGGCUUACUCAUCCUGACCAUUGAAAUCGUUUGUGCCUCUGUGAUGAAAUGUUCCCAGAUGUGCUGUGGCAUGCAUGCUUACCUUAAAAACAUUGUUUUCAAGUAUAUUAGUUCAGUCUGCCUUCCAAGUGUGCCCAUGAAGUGAGUGGAUGAGUAGGCCGUCAUCUGAGGAAAGCUUUUACAGAUGAAGGAUCUGAGCUCAGAGAAGCUAAGCAACUUACCCCACUUUCCACAGCUCGUGACUCUGCUUCUUCUAGUAAACCACACUACCUCGGAGGCCUCAUUCCACAGUCAUCUUCUAUAUUCAAAAGGAAUUCCUGACUUUUGCUUCUUGUCCCUUAAUAUUAUGCCUGAGACCGUCUCCUUGUCUUGGUCAAUUUUCUCUGGCAUAGUGAAUAGAGAGCUGGUGUAACAGUGUUGUAACCUGACAGGUGCAAAGAGAGUAAGUGCCUGGGUUGCCACAACAGAAGGUAAAAACCAUCCUUAGCUCUGCCCACAGGCUCACUAAGUCAUAGGCUCCUCUUGGUGUCACUGAGGCCACCUCAAGUUCCUGGAGCACGGAAAAUGCUCCUAGUAUUUAAACAAUAAAACAAAAUCAUUCAUACAUAGUGUUGACAUUUAGUAGUCAAUUCAAUAAAUGUUCUUGACUAAGUGGUAAUAUAGUAAUUUUUAUUUGUAAUAUGGGUCAUGGGGUAGAGAGGAAGAGAAAUACAGAACAUUUUUCUGUGGUUGAUUCUAUAAGUUUGAAUGGGGAAUCAGAGCAGGAGAAAGUCUAUUUCCAGGACCUUGAACAGAAAUUUCUGGCCAGGCCUGCCACAGACUUGAAGUCCAGCAACCUCAUUGUAGAGACGGGUGAGUUUUGAGGCCCAGCAUGAAGAAAGGAAUUGCCUGAGGUCAUCC
Molecule: long non-coding RNA, 989 nt
Organism: Equus asinus (donkey)
Lineage: Eukaryota; Metazoa; Chordata; Mammalia; Perissodactyla; Equidae
Source: Ensembl